UAUAACAAGUUGUUGUUUCGGCUCCAGCUACUAUCCCUUCUCUCCCUAUUAACACCCUUCCUUUUUUCGUUCUUUUUGUUUUCUUUCUGCCUUUCAAUUUAUUUCACCCUUUUUUGCCUGUUUUUUCGGAGGCCCUAGCUGCUUCCAUUUUGUACGCUUAGUUCAUUUUGCUUAAUGAAUGAAGCAGAUAGCUUGCUAUCUAUUUCUCAAAAAAAAAAAAAAAAAAAAAA
RNAcentral lists this long non-coding RNA (230 nucleotides) under Ananas comosus (pineapple). RNAcentral describes it as "long non-coding RNA (ACOM_LNC005681)". Lineage: Eukaryota; Viridiplantae; Streptophyta; Magnoliopsida; Poales; Bromeliaceae. The record is from RNAcentral.